This 97-nucleotide ribosomal RNA is filed under the name uncultured bacterium. Its description in RNAcentral is "partial 16S ribosomal RNA". It matches the Rfam family "Bacterial small subunit ribosomal RNA", at positions 1388 to 1482 of the family's 1533-position model. The record is from RNAcentral.
CACCGCCCGUCACACCAUGGGAAUUGGUUCUACCUUAAGCAGGUGAGCUGACCAGCAAUGGGAGCAGCCUACCACGGUAGGGUCAGUAACUGGGGUG